Molecule: ribosomal RNA, 435 nt
Filed under: uncultured fungus
Lineage: Eukaryota; Fungi
Description: LSU rRNA
Rfam family: Eukaryotic large subunit ribosomal RNA
Source: RNAcentral
GCAUAUCAAUAAGCGGAGGAAAAGAAAAUAACAAUGAUUCCCUUAGUAACGGCGAGUGAAGGGGGAAAAGCUCAAAUUUUAAAUCUGCUAGGUUUUACUAAUCAGAAUUGUAAUUUGAAGAAGCGUUUUCCGCGUCUUGGUUGGCCCAAAUCCUUUGGGAUAAGGUAUCAUGGAGGGUGAGAAUCCCGUUCGGUUGACCUUAUGACGCUCUACGAUACGCUCUCUAAGAGUCGAGUUGUUUGGGAUUGCAGCUCAAAAUGGGAGGUAAAUUUCUCCUAAGGCUAAAUAUCGGCGAGAGACCGAUAGCGAACAAGUACCGUGAGGGAAAGAUGAAAAGAACUUUGAAAAGAGAGUAAAAUAGUACGUGAAAUUGUUGAAAGGGAAACGAUUGAAGUCAGUCGUACCAACGAGAAAUCAACUUAUCGUGUGCGAACU